GGCUACACAUGCAAGUCGAGCGGCAGCGGGAAAGUAGCUUGCUACUUUUGCCGGCGAGCGGCGGACGGGUGAGUAAUGCCUGGGAAUCUGCCCAGUCGAGGGGGAUAACUACUGGAAACGAUAGCUAAUACCGCAUACGCCCUACGGGGGAAAGCAGGGGACCUUCGGGCCUUGCGCGAUUGGAUGAACCCAGGUGGGAUUAGCUAGUUGGUGAGGUAAUGCCUCACCAAGGCGACGAUCCCUAGCUGGGCUGACAGGAUGAUCAGCCACACUGGAACUGAGCCACCUCCCAGACUCCUACGGGAGGCAGCAGUGGGGAAUAUUGCACAAUGGGGGAAACCCUGAUGCAGCCAUGCCGCGUGUGUGAAGAAGGCCUUCGGGUUGUAAAGCACUUUCAGCGAGGAGGAAAGGUUGAUGCCUAAUACGUAUCAACUGUGACGUUACUCGCAGAAGAAGCACCGGCUAACUCCGUGCCAGCAGCCGCGGUAAUACGGAGGGUGCAAGCGU
Molecule: ribosomal RNA, 507 nt
Filed under: Aeromonas sp. AER11/VDL/07
Lineage: Bacteria; Pseudomonadati; Pseudomonadota; Gammaproteobacteria; Aeromonadales; Aeromonadaceae
Description: bacterial SSU rRNA
Rfam family: Bacterial small subunit ribosomal RNA
Source: RNAcentral